Molecule: ribosomal RNA, 647 nt
Filed under: uncultured bacterium
Lineage: Bacteria
Description: bacterial SSU rRNA
Rfam family: Bacterial small subunit ribosomal RNA
Source: RNAcentral
CAGCUUACUGGGCGUCUCCUGACGCUGAAGCGCUAAGGCCAGGGGAGCGAAGGGGAUUAGAUACCCCCGUAGUCCUGGCUUCAAACGAUGUGGGCUUGGUGUCGGCCCCCUAUAGAGGGUUGUUGCCGGAGUUAACGCGUUAAGCCCACCGCCUGGGGAUUACGUCCGCAAGGAUGAAACUCAAGGGAAUUGACGGGGGCCCACACAACCGGUGGAGCACGUGGUUUAAUUCGACGAUAAGCGAAGAACCUUACCAGGGCUUGACCUAGCGGUAGUAGAACCCCGAAAGGGGAACGACCUCAAGCUUUGCUUGAGGAGCCGUGGCAGGUAUUGCAUGGCUGUCGUCAGCUCGUGUCGUGGGACGUUGGGUUAAGUCCCGUAACGAGCGCAACCCCUGCCCUUAAUUGCCAACGGGUAAUGCCGGGUACUAUAAGGGGACUGCCGGAGAAUAUCCGGAGGAAGGAGGGGAUGACGUCAAGUCAUUAUGAUCCUUAUGCUCUGGGCGACACACGUGCUACAAUGGGCACUACAAUGAGGAGCGAUUCCGCAAGGACGAGCAAAUCUCAAAAAGGUGCCCUCAGUGCGGAUUGGGGUCUGCAACCCGACCCCAUGAAGAUGGAAUCGGUAGUAAUCGCGGGUCAGCCAUA